GAUGAACGCUGGCGGCGUGCCUAAUACAUGCAAGUCGAGCGAACGGACGAGAAGCUUGCUUCUCUGAUGUUAGCGGCGGACGGGUGAGUAACACGUGGAUAACCUACCUAUAAGACUGGGAUAACUUCGGGAAACCGGAGCUAAUACCGGAUAAUAUUUUGAACCGCAUGGUUCAAAAGUGAAAGACGGUCUUGCUGUCACUUAUAGAUGGAUCCGCGCUGCAUUAGCUAGUUGGUAAGGUAACGGCUUACCAAGGCAACGAUGCAUAGCCGACCUGAGAGGGUGAUCGGCCACACUGGAACUGAGACACGGUCCAGACUCCUACGGGAGGCAGCAGUAGGGAAUCUUCCGCAAUGGGCGAAAGCCUGACGGAGCAACGCCGCGUGAGUGAUGAAGGUCUUCGGAUCGUAAAACUCUGUUAUUAGGGAAGAACAUAUGUGUAAGUAACUGUGCACAUCUUGACGGUACCUAAUCAGAAAGCCACGGCUAACUACGUGCCAGCAGCCGCGGUAAUACGUAGGUGGCAAGCGUUAUCCGGAAUUAUUGGGCGUAAAGCGCGCGUAGGCGGUUUUUUAAGUCUGAUGUGAAAGCCCACGGCUCAACCCGUGGAGGGUCAUUGGAAACUGGAAAACUUGAGUGCAGAAGAGGAAAGUGGAAUUCCAUGUGUAGCGGUGAAAUGCGCAGAGAUAUGGAGGAACACCAGUGGCGAAGGCGACUUUCUGGUCUGUAACUGACGCUGAUGUGCGAAAGCGUGGGGAUCAAACAGGAUUAGAUACCCUGGUAGUCCACGCCGUAAACGAUGAGUGCUAAGUGUUAGGGGGUUUCCGCCCCUUAGUGCUGCAGCUAACGCAUUAAGCACUCCGCCUGGGGAGUACGACCGCAAGGUUGAAACUCAAAGGAAUUGACGGGGACCCGCACAAGCGGUGGAGCAUGUGGUUUAAUUCGAAGCAACGCGAAGAACCUUACCAAAUCUUGACAUCCUUUGACAACUCUAGAGAUAGAGCUUUCCCCUUCGGGGGACAAAGUGACAGGUGGUGCAUGGUUGUCGUCAGCUCGUGUCGUGAGAUGUUGGGUUAAGUCCCGCAACGAGCGCAACCCUUAAGCUUAGUUGCCAUCAUUAAGUUGGGCACUCUAAGUUGACUGCCGGUGACAAACCGGAGGAAGGUGGGGAUGACGUCAAAUCAUCAUGCCCCUUAUGAUUUGGGCUACACACGUGCUACAAUGGACAAUACAAAGGGCAGCGAAACCGUGAGGUCAAGCAAAUCCCAUAAAGUUGUUCUCAGUUCGGAUUGUAGUCUGCAACUCGACUACAUGAAGCUGGAAUCGCUAGUAAUCGUAGAUCAGCAUGCUACGGUGAAUACGUUCCCGGGUCU
RNAcentral lists this ribosomal RNA (1373 nucleotides) under uncultured bacterium. Its description in RNAcentral is "bacterial SSU rRNA". It matches the Rfam family "Bacterial small subunit ribosomal RNA", at positions 28 to 1381 of the family's 1533-position model. The record is from RNAcentral.